UGGCUCCCACUUCAGGAGCCUCACCAAAGACUCUCUGCUCCUCACUAUAUCUACGUUAGCCUUCUGGAGCUUUUCCUUCUGACUGGAUCCGGAGACGGGGCUCACUCAGAGGAACUGAUGCGAUGCACCGUACUAUGUGCUUGGGAAAUACGACAGAAGAACAAGACAUGUUCACUAAAGCUUACAUUCUGAUGAUGUCAAGAAGAUGGGAUUUUUCCCUCAGAAGGACAUCCAUGGCUCCUCCCUGCAACAGUCCUCCCAGAAUUUCCUACAAGCCCAAAGGAUGGAUGGAUGGACCUAAAUCCAUUGCUCUGACCUCCUCUAAUUGUCCAUCACCCCUCCAGUUUUCAGCCUCUCUUACUGGACUCCCGUCUUCUUUGAGUUUCUCUAGGAAUUGUUUCGAGAUUG
Long non-coding RNA from Ornithorhynchus anatinus (platypus), 408 nucleotides. RefSeq lists it as uncharacterized. NCBI's taxonomy places the organism in Eukaryota, Metazoa, Chordata, Mammalia, Monotremata, Ornithorhynchidae. The transcript has 3 exons. The record is from RefSeq and is a predicted model, not a curated record.